AGAGAGAGCGAGACUGACCUACCCAAGAGAGAGAACGCAAGAGUGACUCCCCCCUAUCACUUAAAGGCCGGAAGAAAAAAAUUUCCCACGGCCUUAUUUACCAAGCUCGGGACUAGAGGAGCAUUUUUGGAAUUUGAGGUAUCGCUUGUAAUGUAAUAAGGAUGAAGUCUCAUUCAUAUAGUAAUGUCCCUAGCUUGCGCCCUAUUUGAGACUAAGGCAGGUUUGGAACCCUGUCCUAUCACCUUUAUCAAAUCCCUAGCUCUCUUCCUUAGUGCAACUGCCCUAUUCCUACCAUGGGAAUAUCUAUCUUUCUUUUUUCUUUCAUAUCUAUAGUUUAGGAUAGAAAAGCGGACGGUCUCGUUUAUGAAGAAA
This 372-nucleotide long non-coding RNA is filed under the name Nicotiana benthamiana. Its description in RNAcentral is "long non-coding RNA (NBEN_LNC032040)". Lineage: Eukaryota; Viridiplantae; Streptophyta; Magnoliopsida; Solanales; Solanaceae. The record is from RNAcentral.